RNAcentral lists this ribosomal RNA (100 nucleotides) under uncultured bacterium. RNAcentral describes it as "partial 16S ribosomal RNA". It matches the Rfam family "Bacterial small subunit ribosomal RNA", at positions 1384 to 1482 of the family's 1533-position model. The record is from RNAcentral.
UACACACCGCCCGUCACACCAUGGGAGGUUGGUCUUACCUGAAGACGGUGCGCUAACCGCAAGGAGGCAGCCGGCCACGGUAGGGUCAGCGACUGGGGUG